CCUACGGGGGGCAGCAGUGGGGAAUAUUGGACAAUGGGGGCAACCCUGAUCCAGCCAUGCCGCGUGUGUGAAGAAGGCCCUCGGGUUGUAAAGCACUUUCAGUGAGGAAGAACGCCUGGUGGUUAAUACCCAUCAGGAAAGACAUCACUCACAGAAGAAGCACCGGCUAACUCCGUGCCAGCAGCCGCGGUAAUACGGAGGGUGCGAGCGUUAAUCGGAAUUACUGGGCGUAAAGCGCGCGUAGGUGGCUUGAUAAGCCGGUUGUGAAAGCCCCGGGCUCAACCUGGGAACGGCAUCCGGAACUGUCAAGCUGGAGUGCAGGAGAGGAAGGUAGAAUUCCCGGUGUAGCGGUGAAAUGCGUAGAGAUCGGGAGGAAUACCAGUGGCGAAGGCGGCCUUCUGGACUGACACUGACACUGAGGUGCGAAAGCGUGGGUAGCAAACAGGAUUAGAUACCCCGGUAGUC
Molecule: ribosomal RNA, 465 nt
Filed under: Vreelandella stevensii
Lineage: Bacteria; Pseudomonadati; Pseudomonadota; Gammaproteobacteria; Oceanospirillales; Halomonadaceae
Description: partial 16S ribosomal RNA
Rfam family: Bacterial small subunit ribosomal RNA
Source: RNAcentral